UUAGAUGACCAUCAACAAACU
Molecule: microRNA, 21 nt
Filed under: Arabidopsis thaliana (thale cress)
Lineage: Eukaryota; Viridiplantae; Streptophyta; Magnoliopsida; Brassicales; Brassicaceae
Description: ath-miR827
Gene: ath-miR827
Source: miRBase by way of RNAcentral